Molecule: transfer RNA, 73 nt
Filed under: Phycisphaerae bacterium
Lineage: Bacteria; Pseudomonadati; Planctomycetota; Phycisphaerae
Description: tRNA-Glu
Rfam family: tRNA
About the family: Transfer RNA (tRNA) molecules are approximately 80 nucleotides in length. Their secondary structure includes four short double-helical elements and three loops (D, anti-codon, and T loops). Further hydrogen bonds mediate the characteristic L-shaped molecular structure. tRNAs have two regions of fundamental functional importance: the anti-codon, which is responsible for specific mRNA codon recognition, and the 3' end, to which the tRNAs corresponding amino acid is attached (by aminoacyl-tRNA synthetases). tRNAs cope with the degeneracy of the genetic code in two manners: having more than one tRNA (with a specific anti-codon) for a particular amino acid; and 'wobble' base-pairing, i.e. permitting non-standard base-pairing at the 3rd anti-codon position.
Source: RNAcentral
GUCCCCAUCGUCUAGAGGCCUAGGACACCGGGUUUUCAACCCGGCGACCGGGGUUCGAAUCCCCGUGGGGACG